This is a long non-coding RNA of Bacillus rossius redtenbacheri, 906 nucleotides long. RefSeq lists it as uncharacterized. Lineage: Eukaryota; Metazoa; Arthropoda; Insecta; Phasmatodea; Bacillidae. The record is from RefSeq and is a predicted model, not a curated record. The transcript is spliced from 3 exons.
CGACUCGCAGACCGGGACGGACGCACGUCCCACGGGGAGCCAGCAUCUCUUUGUUUCACCUAACGUCCAUCUGGGGUAUUAGAGGUGUCGCGUGGUUGCGGUUGGCGCGUGGCUCUAGGACCAGCCGCCGCGGGGCGGACGAGCUCAGGAGAGCGGCUCCUUGCCCACGAAGCCGUACUGCGAGUAGGGCCCCAGCGGCACGAACUUGGAGUCGCGGCCCGCCGCCUGGCCGCGCCGCCGCGCCGGCCGCGUGGAGCCGCUGCAGCGCGCCGCGGCCCGCAGCUCGCCCGCCAUCUGCGAGCACAGCGACGACUGCCGCGGCCACAGCCACCCUCGUCUUAGUCCAUGCAGGUGUUAGCCUAGUAUAUGGAGGUGUUAGUCCAUGGAGGUUCCCUAAAAAUGAAGAAAGAAAAACUUGGAUAGCUGCAACGAGGAGGAAGAACUGGAAACCUACUCAAAAAACUAGGAUUUGUUCGCAGCAUUUUCAUGAGAAUGAUUUUGACAAGCUGUCAUUGUACCGUGCCCGUCUUCGUGAAAAUGCUUUAUGAAAUAUUAUUUUUUUAACAUUUAACCAUGAGGAUUUUUAAUACAUUACACAUUCUGUAUUUUUUAUUACUGUACUUUGACCAAUCAUUUUAUUUAACAUUAAAAACAUUAUAGCUUUUUGGAGACUUGAGUAUUUUUUGCUUAUGUAUGUUAGUUAACCUGUGAAUCUGCAUUCAAAGUUAAUGUAUUGCCAUGGAGAUAUAAAAAAUAAACAGAACAUUAUACAAGUAACCAUGUGCUAACUUGUAAACUCGAAGAGGUAGAGCUUGAGAGCUAUUUUGAACUAAGUAGUAAAAACAUUUGAAACUGAAUGCUGAAGUACCCAUGAUUAUGUUUACUGGGGUGUAUAGGAACCUUAAA